UACGGAAGGGGCAAGCGUUGUUCGGAAUCAUUGGGCGUAAAGGGCGCGCAGGUGGCUCUGUAUGUCUGCCGUGAAAGCAUACAGCUCAACUGUAUUGUGUCGGUAGAAACUGCAGGACUUGAGGCUGGGAGGGGCUGGUGGAAUUCCCUGUGUAGCGGUGAAAUGCGUAGAGAUGGGGGAGAACACUCGUGGCGAAGGCGGCCAGCUAGACCAGUUCUGACACUGAGGCGCGACAGCGUGGGGAGCGAACAGG
This 253-nucleotide ribosomal RNA is filed under the name uncultured bacterium. RNAcentral's name for it is "partial 16S ribosomal RNA". It matches the Rfam family "Bacterial small subunit ribosomal RNA", at positions 524 to 776 of the family's 1533-position model. The record is from RNAcentral.